Molecule: long non-coding RNA, 2357 nt
Organism: Cyprinus carpio (common carp)
Lineage: Eukaryota; Metazoa; Chordata; Actinopteri; Cypriniformes; Cyprinidae
Source: Ensembl
AUGGAUGCAGACAUACAAGUAAACAGAAACACAGAACCAAUACAGUGCAGAGACCUCUGGUUGACUGUGCUGUGGGACUCUGGACUCAACCGAACGCAUUUCCUCCUGAUUAACGUGAUGCCUGUCAGCUCGCUGAGACAUUCCCCUACGACCCCUCUAGACCGGACCCCCUCUUCUGCUACUCCUAAUAGACGUGAAACGCUCCAGUCAAUAAUUUUUUCUACUUGUCUUCAUCCCUCUCUCUCUCUGUGUCUCUCCUUCUCAGAUUGCUGCAUGUCAGGAGGAGGUUCACAUCAGAAAGUUCAGCCAAAUGUUAUCUAGCACAGGGAGGUUUCAAAUGGGAGGCCUAUUGCUCCCCCUCUUCUAACUUCUAGUUUCUGACUCCCUCUCUCACUCUCUCCCUUGUGUCUCUCGCCCAAUCUCCCUGCCCCCCCGCGGCUGCCUUUCAGACUCGCAGCCAAUAAGUGUCUGUGAUAACAUCAACAGCUGUCAAAGACCCAGGCAACUGCACUUGUCUCAUAAACCCAAACACCUGUACUCUCUCAUUCUUUUGAUUGUUAUCUCUCAUACACACGCACACACACUGCUCUGCUCUCUAUCACUCACGUUGGUUUGAUUUGCCUGUCAGAAAGAAGGGGAUGUGCCAAGAUCUGUGGAGCCGUGUGAAGGGGUGUGUGUGGGUGUAUUCCAGGACGGGAGGGGGGAAAUUUAUAAACUGAGCGAGAGAGAUGAGAAGGAGAAAAAAGAGAGGGAGAAAGGCAGAGAGUGUCUCUUCAAAAGUUUGGCACAGUUUGAAAGGCAGAACUGGGGGCUUAUGGGGAGGAUGUCACAACAAACUAUAUACUAAGUCACCCCUUUUUUCACUUCUCUACCUCAUUCUCUUGUUUAAUUUAAAUGAGAAAGUGUGUUUCAACAUAUGUUUGUAUUUAAAUGCCAGUCUCAUCAGCACCUUUUGCCUCAUGUGCACCCACCACCUUUCAGCCUCCAGAUGCGUGUCUUUUCCUGGCCUACAACGCUCUUCCUUGGGCACCCUGGCUACAUAAUCCACCUCUCCCUAAAGGCAUUGGCUUCCGUCACGGCUGCUGUCAUGCUGGGCUGCUAUAUCCAUCAUUUAGUCAAUGAGAAGUAAUGACAGUGUAGAGCAAAACAACAGCAGUCUGUCUGCGUGUUUCUGUUUGAAGGGAAACACACCAGGUUGCUAUGAGACGCGGCCCCAUUGGAGCAGGAGCGAGGCCGCAGACGCAGAGGCAUUUUGGGAUUUGAGACUGAUUUGGUGUUUAUGAUCAGGUGCUGACUGGAAACGAACAGGCUGCUUCUCUGGUGUUUUUGAUGUUGUAAAUGUUCGCUGGGAUAUGACUAUUCAUGAGCUUGGGAGAAAAGGGGCGGGGUUUUUGGAGAGAGGGACUGUUGUGGAGACAGGAAGUUCUCAAUCAAAGCCGAGAGGAAGCAUGUUGUCUGUGAGUGUGUGAGCGAGAAAGCAGAGAGAAGGAGUGAGCGAGAGUAAUGAGAAAGUGUUUGUCUAGGGUGAGCUGUUUGUUAUUCUGAUUUAUAUGUCAGACACAUUAAUGGUGGAAUGGCACGCAGUCGUUCUCCUCCUCCGCCAUCGCAAGCUACUGAUGGCCAGAGAGACAGAGAGCUGCUACUCACACUCAGUCUUCUUCUGGUUGAGUGUGCGAUUAUCUGUGAUCAUGCAGGAUUCAGCAUGUGUUAAGGUUUAACCCGUGACUAAUCGCAUUGCCUGUGCUGUAUCACGGCUGUGUUCUAAGAACACUGACUCUCCAGCCUUAGACUCCAUAAAGACCACACAGCAUAGUCUACUCGUUCUAAUAUAAUUCCUGCAGCUCAUGUGCUAGCAACAGUCAUGAGUUCGAUUCCUAUAGGAACUAGGGAAUGCUUGAGCUGAUCAGAGUCUGUGGAUAAAAGCAUCUGCCUAAAACAUUACAGACAUUUACAAUGUUACAUUCACAAUGUUACAAAAAAUGCUGUUCCUUUAAAAUUUCUAAUUGAUUACAGAAUCCUAAAAAAAAUCAUGACAGUUUUCUUUCAUGAAUUUGAUUAUGCUAUUAAAAUUUGACAUGAUAUUAAAAUAUAAUUUUAAGAAUUCUGAAACAAACCUAAAAAUUUGAAAAUUGUCCAGCAUGUAUGAAAGCCAUCGUUCAUGCUAGUUAACUGCAUGUUAUGGUGCUUCGGUUCCCCAGAACACAUCUCAUCUAGCCGAUCAUGGAUGUUUUAUGACAACUGGCUGCCACAUCUUGCUGGCACUGGAGAAAAUGUGAAAAAAAAAAAAAAAAAAAAAAAAAAAAAAAAUGCAAUUCCAUGACUGAAGUGUCACAAUAAAAAAUCUAGUGGAAUAAGCA